GAUGAACGCUGGCGGCGUGCCUAAUACAUGCAAGUCGAGCGAACGGACGAGAAGCUUGCUUUUCUGAUGUUAGCGGCGGACGGGUGAGUAACACGUGGAUAACCUACCUAUAAGACUGGGAUAACUUCGGGAAACCGGAGCUAAUACCGGAUAAUAUUUUGAACCGCAUGGUUCAAAAGUGAAAGACGGUCUUGCUGUCACUUAUAGAUGGAUCCGCGCUGCAUUAGCUAGUUGGUAAGGUAACGGCUUACCAGGCAACGAUGCAUAGCCGACCUGAGAGGGUGAUCGGCCACACUGGAACUGAGACACGGUCCAGACUCCUACGGGAGGCAGCAGUAGGGAAUCUUCCGCAAUGGGCGAAAGCCUGACGGAGCAACGCCGCGUGAGUGAUGAAGGUCUUCGGAUCGUAAAACUCUGUUAUUAGGGAAGAACAUAUGUGUAAGUAACUGUGCACAUCUUGACGGUACCUAAUCAGAAAGCCACGGCUAACUACGUG
RNAcentral lists this ribosomal RNA (496 nucleotides) under uncultured bacterium. Its description in RNAcentral is "partial 16S ribosomal RNA". It matches the Rfam family "Bacterial small subunit ribosomal RNA", at positions 28 to 507 of the family's 1533-position model. The record is from RNAcentral.